Salarias fasciatus (jewelled blenny) is the source of this 69-nucleotide non-coding RNA. NCBI's taxonomy places the organism in Eukaryota, Metazoa, Chordata, Actinopteri, Blenniiformes, Blenniidae. The record is from the annotation of a RefSeq genome assembly.
GUAAAUAUAGAUUAACUAAAUCACUGGUCUGUGAUCCCAGAGACAGGGGUUAAACUCCCCUUAUUCACC